Molecule: ribosomal RNA, 510 nt
Filed under: uncultured bacterium
Lineage: Bacteria
Description: partial 16S ribosomal RNA
Rfam family: Bacterial small subunit ribosomal RNA
Source: RNAcentral
GACGAACGCUGGCGGCGUGCUUAACACAUGCAAGUCGAACGAAGAGCGAUGGAAGCUUGCUUCUAUCAAUCUUAGUGGCGAACGGGUGAGUAACGCGUAAUCAACCUUCCCUUCAGAGGGGGACAACAGUUGGAAACGACUGCUAAUACCGCAUACGAUCUAACCUCGGCAUCGAGGAUAGAUGAAAGGUGGCCUCUACAUGUAAGCUAUCACUGAAGGAGGGGAUUGCGUCUGAUUAGCUAGUUGGAGGGGUAACGUCCCACCAAGGCGAUGAUCAGUAGCCGGUCUGAGAGGGUGAACGGCCAAAUUGGGACUGAGACACGGCCCAGACUCCUACGGGAGGCAGCAGUGGGGAAUCUUCCGCAAUGGACGAAAGUCUGACGGAGCAACGCCGCGGGAGUGAUGACGGCCUUCGGGUUGUAAAGCUCGGUUAAUCGGGACGAAAGGCCUUCUUGCGAAUAGUGAGAAGGAUUGACGGUACCGGAAGAGAAAGCCACGGCUAACUACGUG